CCUGCAUGUCUCAGUACAGGCCAAAUUAAGGUGAAACCGCGAAAGGCUCAUUAAAUCAGUUAUGGUUCCUUAGAUCGUACACACAAUUACUUGGAUAACUGUGGUAAUUCUAGAGCUAAUACAUGCAAACAGAGCUCCGACCGGAGACGGAAGGAGUGCUUUUAUUAGAUCAAAACCAAUCGGUGGCGGGUUCGCUCGUCAUCGUACAACUUGGUGACUCUGAAUAACUUUACGCUGAUCGCACGGUCAUCGCACCGGCGACGCAUCUUUCAAAUGUCUGCCUUAUCAACUGUCGAUGGUAGGUUCUGCGCCUACCAUGGUUGUAACGGGUAACGGGGAAUCAGGGUUCGAUUCCGGAGAGGGAGCCUGAGAAACGGCUACCACAUCCAAGGAAGGCAGCAGGCGCGCAAAUUACCCACUCCCGGCACGGGGAGGUAGUGACGAAAAAUAACGAUACGGGACUCAUCCGAGGCCCCGUAAUCGGAAUGAGUACACUCUAAACCCUUUAACGAGGAUCAAUUGGAGGGCAAGUCUGGUGCCAGCAGCCGCGG
Molecule: ribosomal RNA, 551 nt
Filed under: Agacalles cf. formosus MB-2015
Lineage: Eukaryota; Metazoa; Arthropoda; Insecta; Coleoptera; Curculionidae
Description: SSU rRNA
Rfam family: Eukaryotic small subunit ribosomal RNA
Source: RNAcentral